GUGCUCGCUUCGGCAGCACAAAUACUAAAAUUGGAAUGAUACAGAGAAGAUUAGCAUGGCCCCUGGGCAAGGAUGACAUGCAAAUUUGUGAAACUGUCCAUAUUUUU
This 107-nucleotide small nuclear RNA is filed under the name Myotis davidii. The record is from RNAcentral. Lineage: Eukaryota; Metazoa; Chordata; Mammalia; Chiroptera; Vespertilionidae.